Small nuclear RNA from Tupaia belangeri (northern tree shrew), 203 nucleotides. Its record names the gene U4. It matches the Rfam family "U4 spliceosomal RNA". Rfam says of the family: U4 small nuclear RNA (U4 snRNA) is a component of the major U2-dependent spliceosome. The structure of U4 snRNA from yeast and human has been reported. U4 snRNA presents a k-turn RNA motif in the 5p-SL related to recognition of Snu13 protein. NCBI's taxonomy places the organism in Eukaryota, Metazoa, Chordata, Mammalia, Scandentia, Tupaiidae. The record is from Ensembl.
AGCUUUGCACAGUGGCAGUGUCGUAGCCGAUGAGGUUUAUCUGAGGCGCGAUUAUUGCUAAUUGAAAACAGUGUAAACCCACAAUUACUUUUGCACCAACCUAAUCAAUUCCGGGGACAUGUAUUUCUCUUUUUCUAAACAUGCCUCGUAUAGAGUAUCUCUGAAAGCAGUUAUGUAAAAGAGAAGAGAAGCUUGAGGGACUG